ACGGGUGAGUAACACGUGGGUAAUCUGCCCUCGAUUCUGGGAUAGCCCGGGGAAACCCGGAUUAAUACCGGAUAGCCUCUCGAGCUUUCGAGCUCGUGAGAAAAGGUAGCUUCGGCCUCCGAUCGAGGAUGAGCCCGCGGCGGAUUAGCUUGUUGGUGGGGUAAUGGCCUACCAAGGCGACGAUCCGUAGCUGGUCUGAGAGGACGAUCAGCCACACUGGGACUGAGACACGGCCCAGACUCCUACGGGAGGCAGCAGUGGGGAAUCUUGCGCAAUGGGCGAAAGCCUGACGCAGCGACGCCGCGUGGGGGAAGAAGGCCUUCGGGUUGUAAACCUCUUUCAGCAGGGACGAAGCCACUCGGGUGAAUAGCCCAGAGGGUGACGGUACCUGCAGAAGAAGCCCCGGCUAACUACGUGCCAGCAGCCGCGGUAAUACGUAGGGGGCAAGCGUUGUCCGGAUUUAUUGGGCGUAAAGAGCGUGUAGGCGGCCAGACAGGUCCGUUGUGAAAACUAGAGGCUUAACCUCUAGACGUCGAUGGAAACCGUUUGGCUAGAGUCCGGAAGAGGAGAAUGGAAUUCCUGGUGU
This 586-nucleotide ribosomal RNA is filed under the name uncultured bacterium. RNAcentral describes it as "bacterial SSU rRNA". It matches the Rfam family "Bacterial small subunit ribosomal RNA", at positions 102 to 676 of the family's 1533-position model. The record is from RNAcentral.